This 923-nucleotide ribosomal RNA is filed under the name uncultured archaeon. RNAcentral describes it as "bacterial SSU rRNA". It matches the Rfam family "Archaeal small subunit ribosomal RNA", at positions 1 to 934 of the family's 1478-position model. The record is from RNAcentral.
UUUUCCGGUUAUCCUGCCGGACCCGACUGCUAUCAGAGUGGGACUAAGCCAUGCGAGUCGACGUAGCAAUACGUGGCAUACGGCUCAGUAACACGUAGUCAACAUGCCCAGAGGACGUGGAUAACCUCGGGAAACUGAGGAUAAACCAUGAUAGAUCAUAAUAUCUGGAAUGAUUUAUGGUUCAAAUCUAUAUGGCCCCUGGAUUGGACUGCGGCCGAUCAGGCUGUUGGUGAGGUAAUGGCCCACCAAACCUGAAACCGGUACGGGCUCUGAGAGGAGAAGCCCGGAGAUGGGCACUGAGACAAGGGCCCAGGCCCUAUGGGGCGCAGCAGGCGCGAAAUCUUUGCAAUAGGCGAAAGCCUGACAAGGUUACUCUGAGUGAUUUCCGAUAAGGAGAUCUUUUGACACCUCUAAAAAUGGUGUAGAAUAAGGGGUGGGCAAGCCUGGUGUCAGCCGCCGCGGUAAUACCAGCACCCCGAGUGGUCGGGACGAUUAUUGGGCCUAAAGCAUCCGUAGCCGGUUCUUUAAGUCCUCCGUUAAAUCCAUCUGCUUAACAGAUGGGCUGCGGAGGAUACUAUAGAGCUAGGAGGCGGGAGAGGCAAGCGGUACUCAGUGGGUAGGGGUAAAAUCCGUUGAUCCAUUGAAGACCACCAGUGGCGAAGGCGGCUUGCCAGAACGCGCUCGACGGUGAGGGAUGAAAGCUGGGGGAGCAAACCGGAUUAGAUACCCGGGUAGUCCCAGCUGUAAAUGAUGCAGACUCGGUGAUGAAUAGGCUUAGUGCCUAUUCAGUGCCGCAGGGAAGCCGUUAAGUCUGCCGCCUGGGGAGUACGGUCGCAAAACUGAAACUUAAAGGAAUUGGCGGGGGAGCACCACAAGGGGUGAAGCCUGCGGUUCAAUUGGAGUCAACGCCGGGAAUCACUAGU